Molecule: long non-coding RNA, 232 nt
Filed under: Trifolium pratense (red clover)
Lineage: Eukaryota; Viridiplantae; Streptophyta; Magnoliopsida; Fabales; Fabaceae
Description: long non-coding RNA (TPRA_LNC006244)
Source: RNAcentral
AGUCAGUUAUGUGAUUCUGGAUAUUCUGUUACGUUUUCUUCUACUCAUUGUCAUGUGCAUGAUCAACAUUCAGGGAGGUUGAUUGGGAAAGGUCGUAGACAUGGGGGACUUUAUGUUCUGGAUGAGCUUAGAGUUCCAGAUACUGCAACCUCAACUUCUACUUCCAUUGAUUUAUCAUCUUUUCGUUUGAAUUCAUCAUCUUCUAACUUUUAUUUGUGGCAUUCUCGUCUUG